Panthera uncia (snow leopard) is the source of this 941-nucleotide long non-coding RNA. RefSeq lists it as uncharacterized. NCBI's taxonomy places the organism in Eukaryota, Metazoa, Chordata, Mammalia, Carnivora, Felidae. The transcript has 4 exons. The record is from RefSeq and is a predicted model, not a curated record.
GAGGGGCGCCCGGCGAGCGCGGCCUCUGCCCUGGCCCCGGCCCCCGCCCCCUGCCCCGCCGCCCCGGCCCCGCUGGACCGGAGGCAGUCGCGGCCGACCCGGGCUGGCACCGCCUACGAGGCCCCGGGGACCUUAUGGGAAAGGCUUACAUCACCAAAGCCUUUAGAGAAACAGUCACCUUCACAGCUCGUACAUUCUGAGCCAAUGACUGCAUACCUUCACUGCAUGCUGCACAGACUCAUCACUUCCUGCUCUGGACUGCAGACAAUAUUUGCAAUAGCGAUGUGGCAGAGCUAAUUUUCUUUUGGCCAACAAGCCCAUCUUGACAAUUGACGAGAGAUCAAAAAAGGGCAUGGUGUUAAAGAGGACCCAGGCUGGAGAGAAGCAAGGGGAACCCAUCUUGUCACAAAGAAGAGUGUCCUUGGCUUUGACCUUGCAGCCCAUAUCAGUGAAUCCAUUUUCCUUCCACCAUAACAAGCAAGCUGCUUCUGGGCUGUGAAAUGAAUCUCUGGGAAGGACACUCUAACAACUGAUGGGUGAGUAGCUCAUCCUCGCUCAACAGUAAGAAUGCACUGCUGGGCUCCCCUGCUCCUGUUAGCAUCAAAAGGACUUCAAGGAUCUGGGCCACACAAAUCCAUCCAGAUCUGCAGUUGUGAUGGGCCCUCGAAGGGACAAUAAACUGACGUUGAUGUUGUGCCUGGUUAUGAGUUACUUAUGGGUAAGGCUCAUGAAGACCCCUGCCUUGAAAUCCAAUGCCAUCCAGAAUUCAUUCCUUCAUUCCCAGAUUGUAACUUUUAGCCUUCAUCUGUUCCCUGAGAGCCUCAUCCCAAUAUGUAACUAUUUGAGGAAUAUACCCCUUGGGUGUUUCCUCAAGGACAAAAUGCCACACUAAUAACCUUCUUCCCGACAUCCUCUCCUUACCCUGUAUUUUCUUUCCCGGU